UAAGCGACUAAGCGUACACGGUGGAUGCCCUGGCAGUCAGAGGCGAUGAAGGACGUGCUAAUCUGCGAUAAGCGUCGGUAAGGUGAUAUGAACCGUUAUAACCGGCGAUUUCCGAAUGGGGAAACCCAGUGUGAUUCGUCACACUAUCAUUAACUGAAUCCAUAGGUUAAUGAGGCGAACCGGGGGAACUGAAACAUCUAAGUACCCCGAGGAAAAGAAAUCAACCGAGAUUCCCCCAGUAGCGGCGAGCGAACGGGGAGCAGCCCAGAGCCUGAAUCAGUGUGUGUGUUAGUGGAAGCGUCUGGAAAGGCGCGCGAUACAGGGUGACAGCCCCGUACACAAAAAUGCACAUAUUGUGAGCUCGAUGAGUAGGGCGGGACACGUGGUAUCCUGUCUGAAUAUGGGGGGACCAUCCUCCAAGGCUAAAUACUCCUGACUGACCGAUAGUGAACCAGUACCGUGAGGGAAAGGCGAAAAGAACCCCGGCGAGGGGAGUGAAAAAGAACCUGAAACCGUGUACGUACAAGCAGUGGGAGCACGCUUAGGCGUGUGACUGCGUACCUUUUGUAUAAUGGGUCAGCGACUUAUAUUCUGUAGCAAGGUUAACCGAAUAGGGGAGCCGAAGGGAAACCGAGUCUUAACUGGGCGUUAAGUUGCAGGGUAUAGACCCGAAACCCGGUGAUCUAGCCAUGGGCAGGUUGAAGGUUGGGUAACACUAACUGGAGGACCGAACCGACUAAUGUUGAAAAAUUAGCGGAUGACUUGUGGCUGGGGGUGAAAGGCCAAUCAAACCGGGAGAUAGCUGGUUCUCCCCGAAAGCUAUUUAGGUAGCGCCUCGUGAAUUCAUCUCCGGGGGUAGAGCACUGUUUCGGCAAGGGGGUCAUCCCGACUUACCAACCCGAUGCAAACUGCGAAUACCGGAGAAUGUUAUCACGGGAGACACACGGCGGGUGCUAACGUCCGUCGUGAAGAGGGAAACAACCCAGACCGCCAGCUAAGGUCCCAAAGUCAUGGUUAAGUGGGAAACGAUGUGGGAAGGCCCAGACAGCCAGGAUGUUGGCUUAGAAGCAGCCAUCAUUUAAAGAAAGCGUAAUAGCUCACUGGUCGAGUCGGCCUGCGCGGAAGAUGUAACGGGGCUAAACCAUGCACCGAAGCUGCGGCAGCGACACUGUGUGUUGUUGGGUAGGGGAGCGUUCUGUAAGCCUGUGAAGGUAUACUGUGAGGUAUGCUGGAGGUAUCAGAAGUGCGAAUGCUGACAUAAGUAACGAUAAAGCGGGUGAAAAGCCCGCUCGCCGGAAGACCAAGGGUUCCUGUCCAACGUUAAUCGGGGCAGGGUGAGUCGACCCCUAAGGCGAGGCCGAAAGGCGUAGUCGAUGGGAAACAGGUUAAUAUUCCUGUACUUGGUGUUACUGCGAAGGGGGGACGGAGAAGGCUAUGUUGGCCGGGCGACGGUUGUCCCGGUUUAAGCGUGUAGGCUGGUUUUCCAGGCAAAUCCGGAAAAUCAAGGCUGAGGCGUGAUGACGAGGCACUACGGUGCUGAAGCAACAAAUGCCCUGCUUCCAGGAAAAGCCUCUAAGCAUCAGGUAACAUCAAAUCGUACCCCAAACCGACACAGGUGGUCAGGUAGAGAAUACCAAGGCGCUUGAGAGAACUCGGGUGAAGGAACUAGGCAAAAUGGUGCCGUAACUUCGGGAGAAGGCACGCUGAUAUGUAGGUGAAGUCCCUCGCGGAUGGAGCUGAAAUCAGUCGAAGAUACCAGCUGGCUGCAACUGUUUAUUAAAAACACAGCACUGUGCAAACACGAAAGUGGACGUAUACGGUGUGACGCCUGCCCGGUGCCGGAAGGUUAAUUGAUGGGGUUAGCGCAAGCGAAGCUCUUGAUCGAAGCCCCGGUAAACGGCGGCCGUAACUAUAACGGUCCUAAGGUAGCGAAAUUCCUUGUCGGGUAAGUUCCGACCUGCACGAAUGGCGUAAUGAUGGCCAGGCUGUCUCCACCCGAGACUCAGUGAAAUUGAACUCGCUGUGAAGAUGCAGUGUACCCGCGGCAAGACGGAAAGACCCCGUGAACCUUUACUAUAGCUUGACACUGAACAUUGAGCCUUGAUGUGUAGGAUAGGUGGGAGGCUUUGAAGUGUGGACGCCAGUCUGCAUGGAGCCGACCUUGAAAUACCACCCUUUAAUGUUUGAUGUUCUAACGUAGACCCGUGAUCCGGGUUGCGGACAGUGUCUGGUGGGUAGUUUGACUGGGGCGGUCUCCUCCUAAAGAGUAACGGAGGAGCACGAAGGUUGGCUAAUCCUGGUCGGACAUCAGGAGGUUAGUGCAAUGGCAUAAGCCAGCUUGACUGCGAGCGUGACGGCGCGAGCAGGUGCGAAAGCAGGUCAUAGUGAUCCGGUGGUUCUGAAUGGAAGGGCCAUCGCUCAACGGAUAAAAGGUACUCCGGGGAUAACAGGCUGAUACCGCCCAAGAGUUCAUAUCGACGGCGGUGUUUGGCACCUCGAUGUCGGCUCAUCACAUCCUGGGGCUGAAGUAGGUCCCAAGGGUAUGGCUGUUCGCCAUUUAAAGUGGUACGCGAGCUGGGUUUAGAACGUCGUGAGACAGUUCGGUCCCUAUCUGCCGUGGGCGCUGGAGAACUGAGGGGGGCUGCUCCUAGUACGAGAGGACCGGAGUGGACGCAUCACUGGUGUUCGGGUUGUCAUGCCAAUGGCACUGCCCGGUAGCUAAAUGCGGAAGAGAUAAGUGCUGAAAGCAUCUAAGCACGAAACUUGCCCCGAGAUGAGUUCUCCCUGACUCCUUGAGAGUCCUGAAGGAACGUUGAAGACGACGACGUUGAUAGGCCGGGUGUGUAAGCGCAGCGAUGCGUUGAGCUAACCGGUACUAAUGAACCGUGAGGCUUAACCU
RNAcentral lists this ribosomal RNA (2899 nucleotides) under Escherichia coli 1-182-04_S3_C1. RNAcentral describes it as "bacterial LSU rRNA". It matches the Rfam family "Bacterial large subunit ribosomal RNA". Lineage: Bacteria; Pseudomonadati; Pseudomonadota; Gammaproteobacteria; Enterobacterales; Enterobacteriaceae. The record is from RNAcentral.